GGGUCAGUAGGUUGGUCGUGCCACCGGUACGUACUGUUCUCACUGAUUCCUCCUUCCUGAAGAACCGUAAUGCCAUUAAUUUGGUGUUGCGGGGAAACAGGACUGUUACUUUGAAAAAAUUAGAGUGUUUAAAGCAAGCUAACGCUUGAAUACAUUAGCAUGGAAUAAUGAAAUAGGACGAUCGAUCCUAUUUUGUUGGUUUCUAGGAUUGACGUAAUGAUUAAUAGGGAUAUUUGGU
RNAcentral lists this ribosomal RNA (238 nucleotides) under Glomeromycotina sp. RNAcentral describes it as "partial small subunit ribosomal RNA". The stretch from base 37 to 238 matches the Rfam family "Eukaryotic small subunit ribosomal RNA", at positions 683 to 886 of the family's 1831-position model. The record is from RNAcentral. Lineage: Eukaryota; Fungi; Glomeromycota.